Molecule: long non-coding RNA, 1060 nt
Filed under: Ficedula albicollis (Collared flycatcher)
Lineage: Eukaryota; Metazoa; Chordata; Aves; Passeriformes; Muscicapidae
Description: lncRNA (ENSFALG00000021588.2)
Source: RNAcentral
GUCAGCUGUCUUGGCUGUGUCUACUCCCAGCUCCUUCUGCACACCCAGACUCCUUGCUAGUGGGGUGGUGUGAGGAGAGACUAUCUGAACCAAAACCAGCAUAAGAAACAAUUUCUAAAGUCAAGUUACACCAUUCAUGGUGCUGGAUAUAAAUGUAAGAGUGGACAAAUCUGCAGUUGGUAGAAGCAGUGAACUGUAUGCCCUCUACAGUUGGUAGAAGCAGUGAACUAUAUGCCCUCUAUGAUUUACAGGAGAGUUUUUUGGAUUCUACACGUGAACAUGAUGAUUUACAGGAGAGUUUUUUGGAUUCUACAUGUGAAGAUAUAUUCCUGCAGAUACCUGUAGUGAUGUGCCAUAUUUUUAUUUCCUGUAUGAAGCUUUGUGGAAGUGGGGCUGUUGAAAGAAGUAGGAGUGGCUGCAGAAGCAAAGUGCAGCUGGGAGGUCACACGGAUACUUUUGUGAAGGACAUCUAGCCAGCUCUGCUCACCUUGUGAAGCAUUGUCCCAGUGCAGAUUAGUUGCUCUCCCUUGGCAUCUAACAGGUGAAUUGAAACUAUUCAUAGACACAGCCCAGACAGUUCCUGUUGCAGUUUCUGUUCUUUGACUCUUUUGCGUUUGCCAGAUGAACAAUUUGCGCUGUGGAGGGUGCAGAGCCAGAUUCAGUGAAAAAGGCAUUUGCUGUGAUGACCUGUGUGAGAAUUAAUGUAAUCAGCAGAGUAUGGGACUUGCUACCAAGGAGGUGACAGCAUCAGUGCCUAGCAUGACGUCACUGACAACUUGGGGGUAAGUUAUUAAUUCCUUGUUUUGGAACAAAUACACACAGUAGGCAGCUGCAGGUAGCAUGCUUAUGGAGAUACCUUUUUCUUGUGAAAAUGUCCAGAGGAUUGACAGCAACAGCUCAGCAACAUGCUCCAGGACACACAGCAAUCACAAGCUCCAGAAUGAGCCAUUGAUGCAACUUUUCUGAAUGUGUUCCACAUGAAAAACAAUGCCCAAAGAGAGUUGAGUCCCAGUCCAAGCUAAUUCAGCCAACACAGUGAUUAGGUCUCCCAGAAUUUGAG